GCUGUGGCUCAGUGGCAGAGUAUCUGCUUCGCUUGUACAAGGUUCCAGGUUCAAUCCCCAGCAUCUCCA
This 69-nucleotide transfer RNA is filed under the name Sphaerodactylus townsendi. RNAcentral's name for it is "tRNA-Ala". The record is from RNAcentral. Lineage: Eukaryota; Metazoa; Chordata; Lepidosauria; Squamata; Sphaerodactylidae.